This 380-nucleotide unclassified non-coding RNA is filed under the name uncultured fungus. RNAcentral describes it as "sequence contains ITS1". The stretch from base 1 to 105 matches the Rfam family "5.8S ribosomal RNA", at positions 50 to 154 of the family's 154-position model. Lineage: Eukaryota; Fungi. The record is from RNAcentral.
GAAACGCGAUAGGUAAUGUGAAUUGCAGAAUUCCGUGAAUCAUCGAAUCUUUGAACGCACAUUGCGCCUUCUGGUAUUCCGGUAGGCAUGCCUGUCUGAGCGUCAGCAAAACAUCCUCAGCCUGAGUAUUAUUUUUUUGUACUUAAUGCUGGUCUUGGGUAGUUGGAUGCCGGUGUGGUUAAUUCUUCCCCACCUGCGCCCUCCCUAAACUUGCUGUACGACCGCAAGCCCCUUCUAGCCAGGUCAAUGGAGUGGUAUUACAAUCUUUCCAAAAAGCCUGCUGGUAAACUGCUUUGCGGCGUUAAACGAUAAGAGUCCUCCCUCCGUGGGAGGCUUGAAGUUUUGACCUCAGAUCAGACAAGGAUACCCGCUGAACUUAA